This 230-nucleotide ribosomal RNA is filed under the name Shewanella algae. Its description in RNAcentral is "partial 23S ribosomal RNA". It matches the Rfam family "Bacterial large subunit ribosomal RNA", at positions 2701 to 2925 of the family's 2925-position model. The record is from RNAcentral. Lineage: Bacteria; Pseudomonadati; Pseudomonadota; Gammaproteobacteria; Alteromonadales; Shewanellaceae.
ACGAACCGCUGGUGUUCGGGUUGUCAUGCCAAUGGCAUUGCCCGGUAGCUACGUUCGGAAUCGAUAACCGCUGAAAGCAUCUAAGCGGGAAGCGAGCCCCAAGAUGAGUCAUCCCUAGGGCCUAGAGCCCUCUGAAGAGCCGUUCGAGACCAGGACGUUGAUAGGCAGGGUGUGUAAGCGUUGCGAGGCGUUGAGCUAACCUGUACUAAUGACUCGAGAGGCUUAACCAU